GGGGCUGUGGCUCAGUGGUAGAGUGCUCACCUAGCAUGUGUGAAGAGGUGCUGGGUUUGAUCCUCAGCACCACA
RNAcentral lists this transfer RNA (74 nucleotides) under Marmota monax (woodchuck). Its description in RNAcentral is "tRNA.Ala". It matches the Rfam family "tRNA". From Rfam's summary of the family: Transfer RNA (tRNA) molecules are approximately 80 nucleotides in length. Their secondary structure includes four short double-helical elements and three loops (D, anti-codon, and T loops). The record is from RNAcentral. Lineage: Eukaryota; Metazoa; Chordata; Mammalia; Rodentia; Sciuridae.